GCCGCCGUAGUGCAGUGGUCAGCACGUUACAUUGUGGUCAAAUUGGAUUCUGCAAACUGUAAAAACCCAUGUUCGAAUCAUGGCGGCGGCA
RNAcentral lists this transfer RNA (91 nucleotides) under Cercospora zeae-maydis SCOH1-5. It matches the Rfam family "tRNA". From Rfam's summary of the family: Transfer RNA (tRNA) molecules are approximately 80 nucleotides in length. Their secondary structure includes four short double-helical elements and three loops (D, anti-codon, and T loops). Further hydrogen bonds mediate the characteristic L-shaped molecular structure. tRNAs have two regions of fundamental functional importance: the anti-codon, which is responsible for specific mRNA codon recognition, and the 3' end, to which the tRNAs corresponding amino acid is attached (by aminoacyl-tRNA synthetases). tRNAs cope with the degeneracy of the genetic code in two manners: having more than one tRNA (with a specific anti-codon) for a particular amino acid; and 'wobble' base-pairing, i.e. permitting non-standard base-pairing at the 3rd anti-codon position. Lineage: Eukaryota; Fungi; Ascomycota; Dothideomycetes; Mycosphaerellales; Mycosphaerellaceae. The record is from Rfam by way of RNAcentral.